AUAUUCUUAAAGUGUUUACCUGUUUGUUUGUCACUUUUUCCCCAGUAGAACAGCGUAUAGUAAACUCUGCAGACCACAAUAUUUGUUGACAAGAACGAAUCACUGAACACGUUUAAAUAAAAUAACGCCAUAACGUCACUUCCGAUGUAGACCGGCAUUUCCUGUCAUCUAUUUUUGCGACUUGUCAAAAUGUCGAUCCGUGACAUACGCGGGCGUUUCCAGUAAGUUAAAGUGAAAUAAACAGUAAUUUAGACCACGACUACACUUCGGGAGUUUAUAUAAACGCAGAGAAACAAUGUAUAGAGAAGAACGUAUCCAGUGAUCAUAGUUUGAAGGCUAAUUCACUAAUUGAACUUUGUGUUUUGUUGGAGAAGUUACGGUUUUGAAAGACUGUGUUUAAGAGAAAGAUUGAUAUAAUUGUAAUUGUUAAUCAUAUUUAUGUGACUGGAGUUAAUGAUAAAAGUCAACUAUUGGACGGAAGUGCUGAUAAUUACAAAGAAAACUAUUAGUGAAAAUACUGUCGCGGUCGCCAGAUUGUCGAAUUCAGACGCUGAUUGACAAUUCAGAUGGAAAUAGAAAAGGCAAGGCGAGGAUUGAAUUAUCGGGGGCAGUAACUGUGUAAAACCAUCGUAAAGGCAUGUCAGUAGCUCAGGAUACUUCAUGGCAUAAACUGGGUUUCGGCAGUCUAAAAUCACACACAUUCUUGAUGUCCAAGCAAAAGUAUGGAGGGCAGAUAGUGAAGAAGGUCAUGUCUCAUCGUAUCUGUGAAACAUAUCUGUGAAACGGGCCAGUGGCGGCAAAGAAACCAGACCGGCCAGGUUGCACGUGAACAUGACUGUGUCCACAAGUUUACUGGAGUGUCAGUAGUGAGAAGGGACUCAAGGAGCUUUUUGAAGAGGGCAAGCCUGUUGAGAUUUUAGAUGGUGAUGGAUAUAAUAAUAUAGAAAUUCGCGUGAAAAGGAACAUAAACCUUACUCUACAGAAACGUUUUGAUAAAAAUCAUGUCAAGAACAUUUUCAUAAUGAAGAACUCAGACUGUCAGCCCAGGCGGAGUUCUGCAAAAUUCGACCAUGAAAAUCAUGUUUAUAUUGUGUAUAUAAUAAUAAGUUUAAUGUUAUUAAUCACUAUUCAUUAAUGAAGCUAUUUUCCUUUUAACUGGUAUGAUUGAAUGAUUAAAUAUGCAAUAUGUCUUAAUUUUGAAUUGCUUCAUUUCCCCUGUUACAUGUUAAAGUCAUACUCAUUUUUAUCAAUUUUUGAACAUUUGAACUCCUCAAUAUGCUCACAUGUAAAAAGUUGCAAAUUUAGUAUGGUGUUUCUGGCAAAUGUGGGUACCUAUGAUUGUGAGGCAGGAACUUUUCAUUUUUACUGGUGACGCUUUUUAGUAAUUCAGGCUAAUGUAUAGUUUUAAUUAUUUUUUCCGAAUUUUUCGAUCAUGAACCCUUUUUGAAUUCUUAGGAUUCAUGAAAAGUUCUUCAUUAGUUCUUAAAAAAGGCAAAAAUAUUCAAAUUAAAGUAAUUAAGAACUGAUACGUUUUGAAUUGUGUUGGUUGAUUAACUAAAAUAGAUAAUUUUUAGCAAGAAUGAUGUCUGGCUGAACUUGUGCAAAUAUUGUUGGUUGCCUGAAGUAAAAAAAAAGAAGCUUACAAUUAGAUGAAAUGUACAUGGUUAUCAUGUAUAAAGAAUGUAAAGAUCAAGUAUUUUAAGUAAAAUAAUAAUAAUCUUAAAUUUUACUAACAUUAAUCAGUAUGAAAUAAAGAACUUACAAGAUUAGUA
This is a long non-coding RNA of Dreissena polymorpha, 1772 nucleotides long. RefSeq lists it as uncharacterized. The transcript has 3 exons. The record is from RefSeq and is a predicted model, not a curated record. Lineage: Eukaryota; Metazoa; Mollusca; Bivalvia; Myida; Dreissenidae.